UUCUCCUCUUUAUGGUCUUCUGCCUAGUAACCGGUAGAUAUAAACCCUACUUUUUCCUUUGAGUUGAUCCUUGAUAUGUUUACCCUAACCGAUGAUGGAUAUUCUUCCUUUUGUGUUUUCUUGCCAGUAACCGGUAGAUGUAAAUCCUACUUUCCCCUCCGAGUUUAUCCUUGAUAUAUACAUCCUAACCGGUGACAAAUAUUCUCUCUUUGGUAUUCUAUCCAGUAACUGAUAGAUAUAA
RNAcentral lists this long non-coding RNA (241 nucleotides) under Lathyrus oleraceus (garden pea). RNAcentral's name for it is "Pisum sativum (pea) long non-coding RNA (PSAT_LNC014819)". The record is from RNAcentral. Lineage: Eukaryota; Viridiplantae; Streptophyta; Magnoliopsida; Fabales; Fabaceae.